This 90-nucleotide transfer RNA is filed under the name Candidatus Woesebacteria bacterium. RNAcentral's name for it is "tRNA-Ser". It matches the Rfam family "tRNA". Rfam says of the family: Transfer RNA (tRNA) molecules are approximately 80 nucleotides in length. Their secondary structure includes four short double-helical elements and three loops (D, anti-codon, and T loops). The record is from RNAcentral. Lineage: Bacteria; Candidatus Woeseibacteriota.
GGAGGGAUGCCGGAGUGGUCUAUCGGCCAGCUCUCGAAAAGCUUGGGGACAGCAAUGUCCACUGGGGUUCGAAUCCCCCUCCCUCCGCCA